CAGAUAAAACAAACGUGACCAGAUCAGGAAAAGUAAAAAGUGAUAACGAAGAGAUGGUUAAUAAUAACAUGUUAUAUACAAAUGAUGAAAGUAACAAAUAUUAUUAUAAAGAUCCACCAAACGAAUUUAUAAAUAUGAAUAAAACAUAUUUUAUGAAAGAGUUAUUUAAGAAUAAUUACCUAUAUGAAAAUGAAUAUAUUAAUAACAUUCAUUUUAAGGUUAAUCCAUUAUAUAAUAACGAAACAAGUGAAAUAUUUUAUUCAGUUUAUAAAUAUUUAUUUCGAACAGUUGAUAAUCCAAGUUUAAAUAAAAGAAUAGAAUAUAUAAAUUUUUGUAAAAAAUGUAAAUUAUAUAUUAUAAAAAAGUUAAUGUCAAAUUUGAAAAGUAGUAAAAAAGAAAAACAAGGUAAAAUAAUUAUUGAAAAUAUAAACGAAAUAAACAAAAAUACUAACAUUUUAAAUCAUAAUAAUAAAACUGCAUACGAUUAUUUUUAUUAUUAUUCUGAUGAUAGUGGAGAUAGUGAUAGUGAUCAAAUAAGUGGUAAGAAGGGACAAACAGAUAGUGGUGUUGGUGGUGUAGAUACUGAUCUUUAUGAUUCAGAAUAUGAGUAUUACAAUGAAGGAGGUAGAUAUAGUAAUAAAUCAAAACAUGUUCGACAAAGUAAUGCAUAUAAUAAUAGCGAACGUAAUGUUAGAAGAGGUAAUUUUGUUCAUGGUAAGGGGAAUAUGUCGAGAAUGGAUUUGGGAAGAUAUGGUAAUGCAAAAAGAAUAAACAGUAUUAGUAGUAAUAAUAAACAUAUUUAUAGGAGUGAUAGUACAGACAAUAAUAAUCACAUUCUAAAUGAAAUAAUAAACACAAACAUAUUAUUUAAAAAAGAGGAUCUAAAGAAUUAUUGUAAUUUUGAUAAAAAUAUAACAUUUGAUUAUGAAUUUACAAAUAAUAUAAAAAAUUUAUUUCAAAAAAAUGUUUGUUUUUUUACAUUAAAAAAAGAUUAUUUAUCAAAUCAGGUAAACAGUUUUUUGAAUUUAAAAAAUAUAAAUAAAUAUGCACAAGUUUUAAAUUAUCAAGUAAGACUUUUUUACGAAAUUGUUAAUAUAUUUGUUUUUUUUGUUUAUAAAUUAUGUCAUUGGGAAUUAUUAAAAAAUUAUUUUGAUAUAUUAAUGAAUGGAACUACGUAUGGUAUAAUAAAAGUGUUAAACCAUUUUGAAUGUAUAAACAAACAAAGUAAUGAACAAAUUGAAAAAUCUUGUUUAGAUAUGUAUAACUAUCUGUCUAAAAGAACAGAUGAAUGCAUAAAUGAUAUAAUGAAUGAUUAUUAUAAAAAAAUGGUAAAAAGUAAAAUAAAAAUUAAUACAAAUCGAAUUAUAAAUAUUAUAGAUACUUUUAAGGAGUAUUUGAUUAUAUUACAACAAGCAAUUUAUACAAAAGAAGAAUUAACAAAUAAAAUAUAUUUAAAAAGUAAAACUUUGUUUAAAGAUUUUUUACCUUCUUUUAAUUUGUUAGAGUUAAUUAUAUGGUAUGAUAAAAAAAGAGAAAAAAUAAAUUAUUUGAACAAUAACUGUUUUAUGAGUUUAAAUAUGAUGAUGUCGAACAGUAGUAAUAAAAGUAGUUACCAUUACAGAGUACCAAAAAACCAAUCAUUUGUUGAUCAUUUUAAUGGAUAUAUAGAUAAUACAGCAACAACAACAGCAGCAACAACAGCAACAGCAACAGCAACAACAGAAACAAUAAAUAACCCAAACAUACAGAAUAUAACACUAUCAUCUAUCCAUAAUAAUAAUCAAUUUUCAAGAUAUUCAUCCUGUUUUGAACGUUUACUAGAUUUUGCAAUUUCUUUAACAACCACAUUCGAAAGUAUAUAUUUUCUUAUUAACUAUAUUGGAGAUGUUUUAAAGUUGUAUAAUCCACAGUUUUACAAUUCUUUAUAUAUGUUAGUAAUAAUAAAAUUACAUAAGUUUAUGUAUAAUUUAUUUGAAAUUAAAAAAGUACGUACUUUAUUUAAAAAAAAAGUGAUAUAUUAAAAACUAGAAAAAGUAAUCAAACAAUUAAAUUAAUUUAUUUAUUAAAUAUUAUACCACUUAUAUAUUUAGAUCCUCAAAUGAAUGUUAUAUUGAUUAAUAAGUCUUAUGAAUAUAAGGCUGAUCAAAAAAAAAUUAUUUUUUCAAAAUUAUCUCCCUUUUCGUUAGUAGCUGAAGCAGUAAAUAAACGAUUAAGACAUGUUUAUACA
Piliocolobus tephrosceles (Ugandan red Colobus) is the source of this 2227-nucleotide long non-coding RNA. NCBI's taxonomy places the organism in Eukaryota, Metazoa, Chordata, Mammalia, Primates, Cercopithecidae. The record is from Ensembl.